GUGGGACCCGACCCUGUCUCCAGUGGGCGUCUUGGGCCCCGGCUCUAUUCUGGGCUGCGGGCCUGGGAAGGGCUCGCCGGGUGCCAAAUGAGCUGUCCUAACUCUGCGGGGCUGCAGCUUCCUGCAUGAUGCUGGGGAGCUUGGCGCCUGACCCAGGAUCUAGAAGGCACUCUGGGCAGGCCGCGCUCCGCCCACGAAGGUUUAACCACCAAGGACUCUGAGAGCUGGCAGGUCUGAGUAACCCUGGUAACAAUUCUCUUCACCUUAUCAAAACCUGAGCUAAAACCAAUGCAUCAGCUGAUGAUGACAGCAGAGAGUGGCAGGGCUGAGGACCCAAAGUCAUUUCCCAGGCUGGCGGAGACUCAAGCUAAGCUAUUGCUCACCGU
Molecule: long non-coding RNA, 386 nt
Filed under: Homo sapiens (human)
Lineage: Eukaryota; Metazoa; Chordata; Mammalia; Primates; Hominidae
Description: non-protein coding TP53TG1:10
Source: RNAcentral